Neofelis nebulosa (Clouded leopard) is the source of this 338-nucleotide long non-coding RNA. RefSeq lists it as uncharacterized. The record is from RefSeq and is a predicted model, not a curated record. NCBI's taxonomy places the organism in Eukaryota, Metazoa, Chordata, Mammalia, Carnivora, Felidae. The transcript is spliced from 3 exons.
GUGAAUGGCAGGUGCGCUGCCCUCCGAGCUCCAAUGUCAAGACUGGUGACCAUGAUGCUCUGCCUGCUGCCCCUUGUCCUUCAGCUCCUGUCUUGCCAUGCUGCUGCUGGGCAGGACAUCCCAGAGGACAGGGCUGUAUGGGAUGGAGGAGGGUGUGUGCCUCAGGGGAACCUCCGGGACCCUCAGUGCAAGGAGAUGAAAGAGAUCCAUGAUACAGGAACUGCAAAGGAAGAAUCAUAUCUGACUGACAAAAACAAAAUGCUGAUACCUUUUAAAAGGAGUAGAAUCUCUGGAAGAAAUCCCACCACAAACAAGCCCAUGUUGUCUGAAGAGGAAAC